RNAcentral lists this non-coding RNA (45 nucleotides) under Schistosoma mansoni. The record is from RNAcentral. Lineage: Eukaryota; Metazoa; Platyhelminthes; Trematoda; Strigeidida; Schistosomatidae.
AUCAAGCUGACGAGUCUCAAAUAAGACGAAACGCGCGUCCUGGAU